This 376-nucleotide ribosomal RNA is filed under the name uncultured organism. RNAcentral describes it as "partial 16S ribosomal RNA". It matches the Rfam family "Bacterial small subunit ribosomal RNA", at positions 527 to 897 of the family's 1533-position model. The record is from RNAcentral.
GUAGGUGGCAAGCGUUGUCCGGGAAUUAUUGGGGCGUAAAGCGCGCGCAGGCGGUUUUUUAAGUCUGAUGUGAAAGCCCACGGGCUCAACCGUGGAGGGUCACUGGAAACUGGAGAACUUGAGUACAGAAGAGGAAAGCGGAAUUCCACGUGUAGCGGUGAAAUGCGUAGAGAUGUGGAGGAACACCAGUGGCGAAGGCGGCUUUCUGGUCUGUAACUGACGCUGAGGCGCGAAAGCGUGGGGAGCAAACAGGAUUAGAUACCCUGGUAGUCCACGCCGUAAACGAUGAGUGCUAAGUGUUAGGGGGUUUCCGCCCCUUAGUGCUGCAGCUAACGCAUUAAGCACUCCGCCUGGGGAGUACGGCCGCAAAGGCUGA